Molecule: ribosomal RNA, 254 nt
Filed under: uncultured bacterium
Lineage: Bacteria
Description: partial 16S ribosomal RNA
Rfam family: Bacterial small subunit ribosomal RNA
Source: RNAcentral
UACGUAGGGUGCGAGCGUUGUCCGGAAUUAUUGGGCGUAAAGAGCUCGUAGGCGGUGUGUCACGUCGUUCGUGAAAACUUGCAGCUUAACUGUGGGCGUGCGGUCGAUACGGGCAUCACUGGAGUUCGGCAGGGGAGACUGGAAUUCCUGGUGUAGCGGUGAAAUGCGCAGAUAUCAGGAGGAACACCGGUGGCGAAGGCGGGUCUCUGGGCCGGUACUGACGCUGAGACGCGAAAGCGUGGGGAGCGAACAGG